RNAcentral lists this long non-coding RNA (1804 nucleotides) under Homo sapiens (human). RNAcentral's name for it is "HSALNT0139246". Lineage: Eukaryota; Metazoa; Chordata; Mammalia; Primates; Hominidae. The record is from RNAcentral.
AGAAGCCCUGGCAAGCAGGCCAGUAGCAUCUGGGAAGGCAAUCAGGGCUCAGGUUUAAGGACAUCCACAAGGACACCAUGAGACAAGUGCCAGUCAGAAGGGCACUGGCAGUAGUGGCUGCAGAAUUUCAAUGUAGGAAGAACUUACAGGGAGCAUUUUGGUUGGAAAAGAACUAGAGAAGCUGUAUUUGCAUAAUACUCUACACAAGACUGAGAAAAUGUCGAUUAUCCGUGUCAAAAAAUAGGGAUACCAUGGAUAGUUGAGAGGAGAGCUAAAGCCUGCAGGACCAAGAAGUUUCCUGGAUUCAGAAUUCUCUGAGGUCAUCCCCAAGCAGAAUGGUGCAUUCAGAAACCAGAACACACUGCACGGGGCAGGCUCUGGCUGGAGAAUUCAGCUGCAGGUGCUCUGUCCCAGCAGACAGGAGGCAGGGGGACAAGGAGGGCUUGUUGCCAUCCCCAGUGCAAUGCAGCAGCUCAAGCAUUAGCAGAGGGACUUGCAUCCUUGGUUAGCAAGCAGAUCCAUGAGGAUGUCUGGAAGUAAGGAGGGACUUGAUAGGUCUGCUUAAUUGCUUCCUGCCUCAAGCCCAGAUUGGUCUGGGAAAGAGGCUGGGCCCAGGCUGCAGGUGGGAGAUUGCGUGGCCAGCUGUGAUGAACUGGAGAGGCUGAGUAAGGGGAAAUAGAAAGGGAGGUGGGGGUGGGGAGAACAUGCUGAAAUAGAUCCCUGAAUGUCCUGGGGCCGGAGCCGGGUCACUCAAUGUGGGGGAGGAACUUCCUUCCCUCUUUCGUUAUUUUCCUUCCUCUCUCUUCCUCCUCACAGGCAACCAGCUAGAGGCAGGAUGAGCUGUCUCAAGGAAGAAGAAAUCAAAACAGCCUUUAAAUUACUGGAGGUCAUGUCCACUUUUUCAUUUUCAGAUCAAACAUAACUGUCUUCAGAGUAUAAAUCCUCUGAAGCCUGCCCUUCUUCCAUCCAGUCCCUUGGGUGGCAGGUAUUAAAUGACUACUCCAUGUUCUCCAUAGGGAGGCAGGAUGCCUUGGCAGCAGAGCACACUGUUGUCAGUACUCAGAAGCGUCUGGAAGCCACCCUCAUCUUAAAAUAAAAGAAUCAAGAUUGAGCUUGGAAAGACAAAAUGUAAAAUCAGUGCCUGGAAAAAUAGGCCAAGUCACCUUAAGAGUCAGAAUAGUUCCAUGAAUAUAUCAAUCAUUUGCAGUGUUGAGUGGGGACGUAGCACAGCUGGUCAACCAGCCACAAGACUAUGGUAAUGACCAUCCAGCACAUCAAGGAGAAAGGGCGACUGCACUGAGCACUUGGCUGCUGUGGUUCCAACAGAAUGUAGACCUAUGAGGCGAUAGGUGCAUCCAGCUGAUUAUAGUUCAAGGGCAUAAAACAUGCAGAUUUUUUAACUUACCAAGCAACCACUAAUGAUAAUUGGGACCUCCUGUAGGCCCCCAGAGGGAGAGUGCACCAGCUAAGAGCCAAGAGCCAAGAGCACUGCUUGAGUUUCUUCAGUGGUUCUGGAUCUUAAAAAUGGGCUUGGUUGCUCAGUUUACAAAUGAGUUCGGUUACUAUAAGUCUGCCCUUCUGAGACUGAACCUGCUGAGAGAACAAAUGAAUAAAAUUAAGCUUCUGAGCCGCAAGAUUGAGGGUUUGACUCUGAGCCAUGGAAAGUCCCUCUAGGCAAUGCCUCUGUAUAAGCAGCUGGAGAGAUAGCCUACAAAUCUUUCCUGAGCUCUGAACCUCUGAACCACCCUGCCAUUGCUCUUUGGUGAAAUCUGCUCCUACUCUUUCUGACAUAAACUAACACAAA